AAGAGUAGAGCUAGUCUGUUUUCUGUAGUUUAAUAUCACCAUAUAAGAGCACAUCCUGAGCUGUUUAUAGCUUUGCUAAGGUUUAACCAUUUGCACAUUUGAAGCAUUCCCUGCUGUGUAUACCUCAGAGACUUUUGCCGGGGAAAGCGUCAGCUAAGGCACUUCAGCCACUUCCAAGAAAUAGAUUUCUAAGAAUUUUGAUUAAAAAGUGUCGAGACAAGGAGUGAGGCAAGAUGUGAUACUGAGAUGACUGGACAAGAGCCCAAAGGGCAAGGAUCCUGUGUAAAGAAGGCAUACACGACACCCUGCAAUACAACACUGCAGGAGUUCCAGUAUGAGACGUCACGUGAUAUCACAGCCAGCUUUUAUUGGUGAUGACCAGAGCUCUGCUAAGAUGGAUCUGUGAGAUCCUCAUAGCUGCCACUAUCUGCCACCAGCAGCAACAUGCUGAUGUGAUGUAUUUUGGAGGAAACUUUAUGGAUGCUGGCAGUCAUCAUUCAGUGAAGAAAGAUGUGAAGUUCUCGCUGAAGUUCAGAACACCAAGCUGUGGGAGCCACCACAUAAACACAGCCCACUUGCAAGAUCCAUGACCCAAUAAUCUAAUGAGUCAUAAGAUGUUUCAGUGGGUGUUUUUUAAUGAAGUACAUGAAAUACAGAAACAGAUGGAAACCAUUGUGAGAGAGCCCAAUAAAAAGGUCAAGCAAACAACAAGAGAAUUACUAAAAAAAUUGGCCCUGGGAAAAAAGAGAAAUAGUGUGAGCACUUCUUGGGCAGGAUACUCUCAGGAAAGGGUGUUUGGAAUUGCACUGCAAGAAUUUGCCUUCUACUGUUUAACUUAAAUUAUGUUCCAGCAUCAAGGUGGUCAUGUACUUAUGCCCCUGAAGAACUAGAAUAGCAACAAAACAUGAUGAAGCCUAACUUUUCUCAGCCCUGAGAUUAUUCCCUUUUAUGUGGAUAAAAGUAUCACAGAAAUCACCUUUGCUUUCACAAGCAGGAAUUAAAUAUCCCUUUUUUUUCAUAAUUCCUUCAAAAUAUCCCCAUGUUUAAAGAAGGGGCAAUUUGAGUGGUUUUCUGAGUGACUUGUUUUUUUCAGUGAAAAUCUUUCAGCUGGAAACAAGAUCUACCACAAAUCUGACUUUUCCUAAGAUUUUUUGGAUUUUGUCACUCU
Molecule: long non-coding RNA, 1168 nt
Organism: Cyanistes caeruleus (blue tit)
Lineage: Eukaryota; Metazoa; Chordata; Aves; Passeriformes; Paridae
Source: RefSeq, a predicted model, not a curated record